UCAUGACUGGGGUGAAGUCGUAACAAGGUAGCCCUAGGGGAACCUGGGGCUGGAUCACCUCCUUAUACGA
RNAcentral lists this ribosomal RNA (70 nucleotides) under Pseudoalteromonas sp. SR41-7. RNAcentral describes it as "partial 16S ribosomal RNA". It matches the Rfam family "Bacterial small subunit ribosomal RNA", at positions 1469 to 1533 of the family's 1533-position model. The record is from RNAcentral. RNAcentral also lists the same sequence under 4 other names. Lineage: Bacteria; Pseudomonadati; Pseudomonadota; Gammaproteobacteria; Alteromonadales; Pseudoalteromonadaceae.